AUUCUUGCUUUGUUCCAGAUCUUAGAAGGAAAACGUACAGUUUUCCCCCCACUGAUUAUGAAGUUAGCUGUGUGCUUUUCAUAUGUGGCCUUUAUUGUGUGUGGUACUUCGUAUUUCAACCCCACAUGCUUUUCUGGCUACACAGAUCUCACCUCAAGAUGUUGAGACACAUCAGGUCAUAGUCUCUGGAGAAGACAGUGAUUCCUGUCUUCUGCCCAGAAGCGGAGCCGGCCUGCCAGCAUCGGGGAAGCUGAGUGCGGGGAGAGGAACAGCCCUCAGCAACAAGAUCCCUCCUCACAGGGUUACAUACCCACCUUCCUGCCUGGUAUCG
This is a long non-coding RNA of Zalophus californianus (California sea lion), 331 nucleotides long. RefSeq lists it as uncharacterized. The transcript is spliced from 3 exons. NCBI's taxonomy places the organism in Eukaryota, Metazoa, Chordata, Mammalia, Carnivora, Otariidae. The record is from RefSeq and is a predicted model, not a curated record.